UACGGAGGGGGCGAGCGUUAUUCGGAAUUAUUGGGCGUAAAGGGCGCGUAGGCGGCUUGAUGUGUCAAAGGUGAAAUCCCUCGGCUCAACUGAGGAACUGCCUUUGAAACUGUCUGGCUUGAGGCCGGGAGAGGGUAGCGGAAUUCCCAGUGUAGCGGUGAAAUGCGUAGAUACUGGGAGGAACACCGGUGGCGAAGGCGGCUACCUGGACCGGUUCUGUCGCUGAUGCGCGAAAGCGUGGGUAGCAAACAGG
Molecule: ribosomal RNA, 253 nt
Filed under: uncultured bacterium
Lineage: Bacteria
Description: partial 16S ribosomal RNA
Rfam family: Bacterial small subunit ribosomal RNA
Source: RNAcentral